GAUGAGGUAUUAUUAUAUUACUUGUGCUGAUGCAUGAUGGGUUGUAGGCUAGAGCUUGAGUACUGUAGUGUGUAGACUAUUUCUGAAUUCACUGACCUGGUGAGUAAAUGUUGUGUACAAUGGCCCCAUCUAGUGACAGAAACAUAGAAACACACAUUGUUGCUGAACGAAGGCAUCUCUUUAUUUUCCAAAAAUUUAACUUGUAGACCUUUACUACAGUCUCUGAGGAGAUGGACACCUCUUCUUCUUCUGGACGAUCUCCGUCUCCUACUGGGACUUGCUUCUUACCCCCUCCUAUCAUGUGGAACAGUCUCUACAAGCAGGCAGAGAUGGAGUUUCAGUUCCUGAGAGAAGAGAAGAAGACCUGUACAACGAAGGAAGCCCACAUGCUUGAGUUGAGAGGGAAGGAUCGAACGAUCCGAAAUCAGAAGAAGGAGAUGGACAGACUUCAAGUCUGCCUCUGGGAGGAGGAAAAGAAGAAGAGCAAUGAUGGAACGGAGAAGGACAAGAUCAUUGAACAUCUACAGUCUGAGACAGACCAUCUCAGAUCCCUUUUAAAAGAGGAAAAGAGGAAAAGAAGAGUAGAAAGGGGUCUAAUGAAUGAGUGGAAGGCUGAGAUCCUGAGACUGAGGGAGUCAGAGAGCCAGAGAGAGGCAGAGAGCCAGAGGGAGGCAGAGAGACAGAGGGAGUCAGAGAGCCAGAGGGAGGCAGAGAGCCAGAGAGAGGCAGAGAGACAGAGGGAGGCAGAGAGACAGAGAGAAGCAGAGAGACAGAGAGAAACAGAGAGACAGAGGGAGGCAGAGAGAGUCACAGAAGCGAUGGAGAACCAGAGGAAAAAUGCAGGAGAUCAAGAGAGUCAAACAUCUGCUGGAGCUACUGAUGGUUGAUCUACAACUGGCCCACGUAAGACAUGUCAUUGUUAUUAUUAAAAGGCAGUGUAUAUUCACCCAGCUGAAAAUGAAUGACGGUGGACAGCGGUACACUAACCCAAUGUUAACUUUUAUGCCUUUCCUUAACAUUAACCCUUACCUUGACCUCACUGAAACUAUACCUAACCUUUACCUUAACCCAACCCUAGGUCCUGAACCUAACCUUCAUUUAUCUCAACCCCUAUGCCUUUCUUCUGCCGGUUGAAUAUCCACUUCCUUAUUAACAUCAUUACUGUUGUUGUUGUUGAUAACUGUAUGUGUGCAGGUUGUAAAUAAUUGCAUUAGUGAAACAUCAUUUGUAGGAGUAAUUUCUGCAAGCAUAAAC
Molecule: long non-coding RNA, 1254 nt
Filed under: Salmo trutta (river trout)
Lineage: Eukaryota; Metazoa; Chordata; Actinopteri; Salmoniformes; Salmonidae
Description: lncRNA (ENSSTUG00000043557.1)
Source: RNAcentral